RNAcentral lists this ribosomal RNA (676 nucleotides) under Serratia marcescens. Its description in RNAcentral is "bacterial SSU rRNA". It matches the Rfam family "Bacterial small subunit ribosomal RNA", at positions 808 to 1484 of the family's 1533-position model. The record is from RNAcentral. Lineage: Bacteria; Pseudomonadati; Pseudomonadota; Gammaproteobacteria; Enterobacterales; Yersiniaceae.
GAUGUCGAUUUGGAGGUUGUGCCCUUGAGGCGUGGCUGCCGGAGCUAACGCGUUAAAUCAACCGCCUGGGGAGUACGGCCGCAAGGUUAAAACUCAAAUGAAUUGACGGGGGCCCGCACAAGCGGUGGAGCAUGUGGUUUAAUUCGAUGCAACGCGAAGAACCUUACCUACGCUUGACAUCCAGAGAACUUUCCAGAGAUGGAUUGGUGCCUUCGGGAACUCUGAGACAGGUGCUGCAUGGCUGUCUUCCGCUCGUGUUGUGAAAUGUUGGGUUAAGUCCCGCAACGAGCGCAACCCUUAUCCUUUGUUGCCUGCGGUUAGGCCGGGAACUCAUAGGAGACUGCCGGUGAUAAACUGGAGGAAGGUGGGGAUGACGUCAAGUCAUCAUGGCCCUUACUAGUAGGGCUACACACGUGCUACAAUGGUGCAUACAAAGAGAAGCGACCUCCCGAGAGCAAGCGGACCUCAUAAAGUGCGUCGUAGUCCGGAUUGGAGUCUGCAACUCGACUCCAUGAAGUCGGAAUCGCUAGUAAUCGUAGAUCAAAAUGCUACGGUGAAUACGUUCCCGGGCCUUGUACACACCGCCCGUCACACCAUGGGAGUGGGUUGCACAAGAAGUAGGUAGCUUAACCUUCGGGAGGGAGCUUACCACUUUGUGAUUCAUGACUGGGGUGAA